This 1103-nucleotide long non-coding RNA is filed under the name Phoenix dactylifera (date palm). RNAcentral describes it as "long non-coding RNA (PDAC_LNC000214)". Lineage: Eukaryota; Viridiplantae; Streptophyta; Magnoliopsida; Arecales; Arecaceae. The record is from RNAcentral.
CCCGAGGUGCUAGACACUUCUGCAGGGUUGGCCAUGGGAGGAUGUUAAGAUUUAAGUUUUAUAUAUAUAUUGUGAUGAAUUUAAAAAAAAUAUGAUUUUUGAUAUUAGGUUUUGCGAGGAAUUUGUGAGAUUAAUUGGAUUUGUUGUGGAUCGCGUUCGAAGUAAGUAAUGAAUUGCCUUCUCUAGACUCUUCAUUUAUAUAAUAUUAUUUUUGCAUCGAAUAAAUUGUUAAUGAAUUUAUAUGUGAUUUAUGAAUUUUACGAGAUGAUGAUUUAAAUGAAAAAUAGAUAUAUGAAUUAGAAUAAUAUUUUUGGAUAUAUCUACUGUUCUUGCAUCGUAUAUGCAUAUUUAGAUCGGAAUAUGAUAUAUCUAUUAUGUUACAAAAGAAUUUUGAUGUGCAUCAAAUUUGGAACUCUCAGCCUGACUAUGUUUUGGACCCUGCCAAUUGGGGGUUAUGCAUUGGCAAUUCUGGCCUCACCACAGGAUAUAAGUGUGGUAUUCUAGCCCACUCCGCAGGGUAUAAGUGCAGUAUUCUGGCCCACUCCGCAGGGUAUAAGUACGGUUCUGUUUUUGGCUCAGCCACAGGGUAUAAGUGUAGUCGUAGUUAAAGGCUGUUGAGUUGAAUGUGAUUUGUUUUGAAUCAGAUUUACAAUUAUGUAUAUGGAUAUUUGAAAGAUACGGAUUUUAAUAAAUUUGUGUUUGAAAAGAAAUUGAUUAUGUUAUUAUGUUGACUCAUUGUAAUUUGUAUAUAUAUUUUAUGUUAUUAUAUGAAUUGUCUAGUUAAGGUAUGUAUUACGUACUGGGUUGUCUAGCUCAUUAUACAAUUUCUUGUUAUUUUACAGCUUCCGAGAACUAACCUAUCAGGGUUGCAAAAUGGGAGAGUAAAUAGAAGAACUGUGGCACAAGUUAUCUUAGAUUAGGAUUUAUUUAAAUUGAUGUUUUAUCUUUAUUGUUCCGCUGCGUAUUUAGAACUGUGAGACUUUAUGACUCGAGUUAGUUAAUGGAAUAAGAUUGCAUUUAUUUAGUUGAAUUAUUUGAUAUAUUGAGAAUUUGGUUAAGAUGCCUUGCAUACUCGUGGGAAGAGUUUUCUACGGAUGUGCGGC